CUUUCAUGUUUCUAUUAAUAAAAUUCAUAAAGUUAGCGUUGUUUAUCAGCUUCUUCUCUUGAAUAUCCAACGGGAUGGAUUUAAAUCAUGGCACUACAUGU
This 101-nucleotide small nucleolar RNA is filed under the name Nicotiana sylvestris (wood tobacco). RNAcentral describes it as "Small nucleolar RNA snoR97". It matches the Rfam family "Small nucleolar RNA snoR97". RNAcentral also lists the same sequence under 1 other name. Lineage: Eukaryota; Viridiplantae; Streptophyta; Magnoliopsida; Solanales; Solanaceae. The record is from Rfam by way of RNAcentral.